This is a non-coding RNA of Chlorocebus sabaeus (green monkey), 2858 nucleotides long. Lineage: Eukaryota; Metazoa; Chordata; Mammalia; Primates; Cercopithecidae. The record is from RefSeq and is a predicted model, not a curated record.
AUACAAUUUUCCUUGCAAACUCUAUUCAGAGAGCAGCUUCCUGCUUGGUGGGUCUCCAUAGUCCCCACAGAUCCCUGCAAUGGAGAGCAACUCGGAGACUGAAUGAAUAGAAAGUAACUUAUUUUAGGCUUUCUUAGUUAAGAAGAAUUGUUUUUUUGUACCUUGAUUUCUAUUGGCACAUGAAAUUAAGCAUUUGACACGCUUUCCUUGUGGGAAACCAGCUCCUGACCCGUAGUUCGAUGUGAGGAAGUUACCUCACUUCCAUUUAUUUUCCAGCCCAAAUGAUCAAUGAGUGCAAAUAUGAGCAGGUUCUAAAGUGUAGAGCACCAGGCAAAGAGACAUAAAUAGAAAAUCGAUGAUAUCAAGUGUGAACUUUGUGAUUCUAAACUGGAAUCAAGUAAUUGUGUUUCUCCUGAAAAGCCUCCGUGCUUUUUAGUUUUAGCCAUGAAAAGGCCGAGAAGUCAGAAGGAGCAGCCCAGCACCCCAGCUGGGGUGUCUGAGGACCAAGCCCACUGCAGGAGAGAUGCUCAUUAGACAACUCGGUUCUGGGCUGGGAAAGGAAGUGGGUGGGAGGAGCCUGGGGCACUUCCGGGCUGAACAGCAAGGGCGGCCUCAGAAUGGGGGGGCUGUGUCCCAGCGCACGGAGCCCACCUCAGGCACUCCCUCAAUGCGGGAUAGAAGCGUGGGGGUUAAGGAGGGACUAGAGCAGAUUGAAAUACAUCAUUACAUUUACAAUCUUGAGUUCAUAAUAAUGAUUUUUUAAAAGGACCUCACAUUACUUUUUUGGGUGCUAGAACAUCGACUCAUUAUUCUAAAAAGUGAUGGAAAGAGGAAAGCGCUGUAAGGUCCUUCCUGUAGGAAACAUACUCAGGGCAGAUGCAUGGUUUUUGAGGGAACAGAAGAUUCUAGGUGAUAAACUCGACAAAUGCUAAAACUGGAAAACCGUCAUCUGAAACCCCCAGUGAAAUAGUGACUCUAGGCUCCUCAGAGGACGCUGGUCAGGGGUUGAUGGGAUCUUCAUGACAAGGGCUCAGGGUUGCCUCAAACCCUCUAAGCAUUUGCAGCUCACCUGAAGUUGGGAUGCAGAGACAGGAUGUCCUGAGAGGGUGCAGCAGGUGGGACACAGCAGGAGUGAUGAAGCACUUUUGCUUCCAAAUCAAACCAGCAUCUACUCAAGGCUCAAGGACGGUCAUUUUAAAGGAGAGGAAACCAUCUGCCAAGUCCAGAAUGUGGACAUUUCACAGAACAGACUGCCUGCCUUCUCUAAUAAUAAGUUUUAUUUUUAAAGACACGAGGAUAAUAAUAAGUUUUAUUUUUAAAGACACGAGGAUAAUAAUAAGUUUUAUUUUUAAAGACACGAGGAUAAUAAUAAGUUUUAUUUUUAAAGGCAGGAGGACACAGUAGAAUGAGAUGAGUCAGCCUCAGUGUGUCCUGGUUUGGAGCCUGGCGUGCACAAGCCAGUGACUGUCACAGGCAUUGUUGGAACAGUGGGGGAAGUCCGAGUGUGUCCUGGGUGUGUAGGGGGCAAACCUUGUCUUCUACCCUCCUAGGGUCCCUGGCAGGGCCUGAGAAUGGAAUUGGCCUAAGGCAGGUUGACGGGGAAGAACAUCGGAUUUGUUGAAUGUGGGGUCUACCUGACACGGAGCCCCACGGGAAAGGAAGACUGAGGAGUGGCACAGCCUGCACGCUGCCCUGUGGUGUUGGGCAGAGGCCACGGUGGACAAGCCACCAAACAAGAUGGGAGACGGAGGGAAGGCGAGGGCUGUGCUAACAGGUCUAUCUGUGCAGAGCCACUCAGCUUCCGACCCUGUAUUCGUCAGGGAUCUCUAGAGGGACAGAACGAAUGGAAUAGAUGUAUAUGUAAAGGAACAGUUUAUUAGGUGUUAACUCACACAAUCACAAGGUCCUACAACAGCCAUCUGCAGGCUGAGGAGCAAGCAGAACCAGUCUGAGUUCCAACUGAAGAACUUGGAGUCCAAUGUUCGAGGGCAGGAAGCAUCCAGCAUGGGAGAAGGAUGUAGGCUGGGAAGCUAGGCCAGUCUCUCUUCACAGUUUCUUUCCUGCUUAUAUUCAGCUGGCACCUGAUUAGAUGGUGCCCACCCAGAUUGAGGGUGGGUCUGCCUUUCCCAGCCCACUGACUCAAAUGUUAAUUUCCUUUGGCAACAGCCUCACAGACACACCCAAGAUCAAUACUUUGUAUUCUUUAAUCCGCUGAUCAAGUGGACACUCAGUAUUAACCAUCACAGACCCCAGCUACCGACAAGAACAUGCUUUGCUCCUGGCCCAGCGAGGGCGGCUCUCACGGGAGGGUCAGAUCCUGCCUUCAGCGCAGGAGGAAGAGGGGAAGCCAGAGUGCUCUGCGUGAGCCUCCUGCUUCUCAGGAGCCUUUAAGUAAAGAUAAUCCUGAUGCCUAAGUGGCAUAUUUUGGGGUGACGUGUUCUGCCACUCUCCAUGUGACCUUAAUUUUAUAAAGUGUGAUGAAUGGCAUGGUGAUUGUAUUGUAGAAUGUCUUUUUUUUUUUUUAGAGAUGGGAGGUCUCACUAUGUUGCCCAGGCUAGUCUUGAACUCCUGGCUCAUGUGAUCCUCCUGCCUUUUCCUCCCAAAGUGCUAAGAUUGUAGACCUGAGCCACCACACCGGGCAAAUUGUGCUUUAAAAGUGUUCUUAUCAUUUAAAAAUGCAGCCUGUAAUACUUAGCGAUAAAACGAUCUAUUGUCUGGUUUUGAAUGUAAAGUAUGCCUAAGAAAGGGAGGUGGAUUGUGCAGGAAUAUCUGUAAAAUAAGAUUGGCCGGAUGUUCAGCACUUGUGGUGCCGGAUGAUUGCACCUGAGGACGUGUCGUGCUGUUUCCCCCAUUUCUGC